RNAcentral lists this ribosomal RNA (497 nucleotides) under uncultured bacterium. Its description in RNAcentral is "partial 16S ribosomal RNA". It matches the Rfam family "Bacterial small subunit ribosomal RNA", at positions 28 to 507 of the family's 1533-position model. The record is from RNAcentral.
GAUGAACGCUGGCGGCGUGCCUAAUACAUGCAAGUCGAGCGAACAGACGAGGAGCUUGCUCCUCUGACGUUAGCGGCGGACGGGUGAGUAACACGUGGAUAACCUACCUAUAAGACUGGGAUAACUUCGGGAAACCGGAGCUAAUACCGGAUAAUAUAUUGAACCGCAUGGUUCAAUAGUGAAAGACGGUUUUGCUGUCACCUAUAGAUGGAUCCCCGCCGCAUUAGCUAGUUGGUAAGGUAACGGCUUACCAAGGCAACGAUGCGUAGCCGACCUGAGAGGGUGAUCGGCCACACUGGAACUGAGACACGGUCCAGCCUCCUACGGGAGGCAGCAGUAGGGAAUCUUCCGCAAUGGGCGAAAGCCUGCCGGAGCAACGCCGCGUGAGUGAUGAAGGUCUUCGGAUCGUAAACCUCUGUUAUUAGGGAAGAACAAAUGUGUAAGUGACUAUGCACGUCUUGACGGUACCUAAUCAGAAAGCCACGGCUAACUACGUG